UGGGGAAUAUUGCACAAUGGGGGAAACCCUGAUGCAGCGACGCCGCGUGAACGAAGAAGGUAUUCCUAUCGUAAAGUUCUGUCCUAUGGGAAGAUAAUGACAGUACCAUAGAAGAAAGCUCCGGCUAAAUACGUGCCAGCAGCCGCGGUAAUACGUAUGGAGCGAGCGUUGUCCGGAAUUAUUGGGCGUAAAGGGUACGCAGGCGGUUUAAUAAGUCGAAUGUUAAAGAUCGGGGCUCAACCCCGCAAAGCAUUGGAAACUGAUAAACUUGAGUAGUGGAGAGGAAAGUGGAAUUCCUAGUGUAGUGGUGAAAUACGUAGAUAUUAGGAGGAAUACCAGUAGCGAAGGCGACUUUCUGGACACAAACUGACGCUGAGGUACGAAAGCGUGGGGAGCAAACAGG
Molecule: ribosomal RNA, 403 nt
Filed under: bacterium
Lineage: Bacteria
Description: partial 16S ribosomal RNA
Rfam family: Bacterial small subunit ribosomal RNA
Source: RNAcentral